RNAcentral lists this ribosomal RNA (565 nucleotides) under Limosilactobacillus reuteri. Its description in RNAcentral is "bacterial SSU rRNA". It matches the Rfam family "Bacterial small subunit ribosomal RNA", at positions 334 to 873 of the family's 1533-position model. The record is from RNAcentral. Lineage: Bacteria; Bacillati; Bacillota; Bacilli; Lactobacillales; Lactobacillaceae.
UUCCCCCUCGGGGGGGGGGGUCAGUUGGGAAUCUUCCACAAUGGGCGCAAGCCUGAUGGAGCAACACCGCGUGAGUGAAGAAGGGUUUCGGCUCGUAAAGCUCUGUUGUUGGAGAAGAACGUGCGUGAGAGUAACUGUUCACGCAGUGACGGUAUCCAACCAGAAAGUCACGGCUAACUACGUGCCAGCAGCCGCGGUAAUACGUAGGUGGCAAGCGUUAUCCGGAUUUAUUGGGCGUAAAGCGAGCGCAGGCGGUUGCUUAGGUCUGAUGUGAAAGCCUUCGGCUUAACCGAAGAAGUGCAUCGGAAACCGGGCGACUUGAGUGCAGAAGAGGACAGUGGAACUCCAUGUGUAGCGGUGGAAUGCGUAGAUAUAUGGAAGAACACCAGUGGCGAAGGCGGCUGUCUGGUCUGCAACUGACGCUGAGGCUCGAAAGCAUGGGUAGCGAACAGGAUUAGAUACCCUGGUAGUCCAUGCCGUAAACGAUGAGUGCUAGGUGUUGGAGGGUUUCCGCCCUUCAGUGCCGGAGCUAACGCAUUAAGCACUCCGCCUUGGAGUUCACGAA